Molecule: long non-coding RNA, 742 nt
Organism: Xiphophorus hellerii (green swordtail)
Lineage: Eukaryota; Metazoa; Chordata; Actinopteri; Cyprinodontiformes; Poeciliidae
Exons: 2
Source: RefSeq, a predicted model, not a curated record
CUCAUUCUAGAAAGCCUCAUAUAUCAACACAAGCAUUUGAGUUAUGUCUUCAGCCAAAAAGUUACGACUGCAUUUUUAAAUUAUGUAGUUUUCCUGGGGUGUGAAACACAAUAAAUUUCACCAUUAUGUGAAUCUCAUGUAAAUUACAUGAUAAAAGCACAUGUAUGUGGGUGAUUUUGUGGUUACAGAUGUGAAUCACACAUGUAGAAAAUAUGUGAAUUACUAGUGAUGAACAUGUAAUACACAUGUCAUCACAAGGGAAUCACAUAGGAUUUCAACACACAACAUUCUCAAAUCACGCAUAUUUUGUAUGUGCUUUUUCAAAAAUCCUUCAUAUGUGAAAAUUUGUGUGAACCACAUGUGCAUUUUUCAGUUUGCAGUAAAUUCAUGUGAAAUCCACAAAUACAUAUUGAUCAACUGAUAAAUACUUUUUUGCAUUGAUUUAUACAGACCAAAUCAAGAAAGUGUACAAGGAUGUUGAUGUCUCUGACAUCAAAGUUUGCAUGGCACAAAAAUUGAAGGACACCAGGAGACGCGCUGAGAGGCAGCCAGGGCAAAACGAUGUACUGUAAACCAAUAGUCAAGUCGUCCUGUGGCUGGCUGAUCACGGUGCUGCAAUUUGUGUGUUGAAAUUGUUUGCUUUUCUUUAUUCUUUGAUCUUCCACAGAAUGUUGCUCAUUUAGAUAAGCAACAUUCUGAUUGUGAAUAGCUUUAAAGAGGAAUAAAUAAAUUUCUAAUUUUU